Clupea harengus (Atlantic herring) is the source of this 496-nucleotide long non-coding RNA. RefSeq lists it as uncharacterized. The record is from RefSeq and is a predicted model, not a curated record. Lineage: Eukaryota; Metazoa; Chordata; Actinopteri; Clupeiformes; Clupeidae.
CGUUGAGCAGACGGGGACACAAAAUCAAGUGGCACUGAGUUUCACAACACGAGGGAGUCGGGACACAAAUACUGCACAAUGGAACGUGCUCAUACUCGGUCUUGUUCAACCUCAAAAGUAGCUGGCUCAAAACUUUCUAGACCAUCGGAAACAAUGAAGAGAAAUAUCCCUGUCAUUGAUGAAUCCGUUGCGGAGGACGUAGCGGAAAUUUCUUCCACCGCUAUGACCACAGUGGCCCCAAAUGCACAAAUAACUGCAAAAAGACUACGCCAUGAGCUGGAGAUGGCCAAACAAAAAGUGGCAGCAGGAGAUGCUCAAGGAAGUGACCAAGGAGAGAGACUUUCUAAGGGAACAACUGGCUAUGACAAUAAAUAGGACAAGGGCGUUCCAUCAGAGGACAGCACAAGUCCCUUACAGCAAACCACUUCCGCCGCUUCAGCUACUUUCUCUUCUGAUUCCUCCGACUCGUCAUCCAACUCUUCAUAUGACUCUUCCU